RNAcentral lists this ribosomal RNA (746 nucleotides) under uncultured bacterium. RNAcentral describes it as "bacterial SSU rRNA". It matches the Rfam family "Bacterial small subunit ribosomal RNA", at positions 28 to 776 of the family's 1533-position model. The record is from RNAcentral.
GACGAACGCUGGCGGCGUGCUUAACACAUGCAAGUCGAACGUGAUUAUAUUGGAAGUUUCUUCGGGAACGGAAAAUAUAUGAAAGUGGCGAACGGGUGAGUAACACGUGAGCAACCUACCUUACACAAGGGGAUAGCCGCUGGAAACGGUGAUUAAUACCCUAUGAGACCACGUAAUCGCAUGAUUGAGGGGUUAAAGAUUUAUCGGUGUAAGAUGGGCUCGCGUCUGAUUAGCUAGUUGGAAGGGUAAAGGCCUACCAAGGCGACGAUCAGUAGCCGGUCUGAGAGGAUGAACGGCCACACUGGAACUGAGACACGGUCCAGACUCCUACGGGAGGCAGCAGUGGGGAAUAUUGCACAAUGGGGGAAACCCUGAUGCAGCGACGCCGCGUGAACGAAGAAGGCUUUCGAGUCGUAAAGUUCUGUCCUAUGAGAGGAUAAUGACGGUAUCAUAGGAGGAAGCCCCGGCUAAAUACGCGCCAGCAGCCGCGGUAAUACGUAUGGGGCGAGCGUUGUCCGGAAUUAUUGGGCGUAAAGGGUACGUAGGCGGCCUUUUAAGUCAGGUGUGAAAGCGUGGGGCUUAACCCCAUUAAGCACUUGAAACUGGAGGGCUUGAGUGAAGGAGAGGAAAGUGGAAUUCCUAGUGUAGCGGUGAAAUGCGUAGAUAUUAGGAGGAAUACCGGUGGCGAAGGCGACUUUCUGGACUUUUACUGACGCUCAGGUACGAAAGCGUGGGGAGCAAACAGG